UGCAAGUCGUACGCUUCUUUUUCCACCGGAGCUUGCUCCACCGGAAAAAGANGAGUGGCGAACGGGUGAGUAACACGUGGGUAACCUGCCCAUCAGAAGGGGAUAACACUUGGAAACAGGUGCUAAUACCGUAUAACAAUCGAAACCGCAUGGUUUUGAUUUGAAAGGCGCUUUCGGGUGUCGCUGAUGGAUGGACCCGCGGUGCAUUAGCUAGUUGGUGAGGUAACGGCUCACCAAGGCCACGAUGCAUAGCCGACCUGAGAGGGUGAUCGGCCACAUUGGGACUGAGACACGGCCCAAACUCCUACGGGAGGCAGCAGUAGGGAAUCUUCGGCAAUGGACGAAAGUCUGACCGAGCAACGCCGCGUGAGUGAAGAAGGUUUUCGGAUCGUAAAACUCUGUUGUUAGAGAAGAACAAGGAUGAGAGUAACUGUUCAUCCCUUGACGGUAUCUAACCAGAAAGCCACGGCUAACUACGUG
Molecule: ribosomal RNA, 480 nt
Filed under: Enterococcus durans
Lineage: Bacteria; Bacillati; Bacillota; Bacilli; Lactobacillales; Enterococcaceae
Description: bacterial SSU rRNA
Rfam family: Bacterial small subunit ribosomal RNA
Source: RNAcentral